UGGGGGAUCGUCUAGCGGCAGGACGACGGACUCUGACUCCGUCUACCGAGGUUCGAAUCCUCGUCCCCCAGCCA
RNAcentral lists this transfer RNA (74 nucleotides) under Deltaproteobacteria bacterium. RNAcentral's name for it is "tRNA-Gln". It matches the Rfam family "tRNA". From Rfam's summary of the family: Transfer RNA (tRNA) molecules are approximately 80 nucleotides in length. The record is from RNAcentral. RNAcentral also lists the same sequence under 1 other name. Lineage: Bacteria; Pseudomonadati; Myxococcota; Myxococcia.